This 477-nucleotide ribosomal RNA is filed under the name uncultured Pelotomaculum sp. Its description in RNAcentral is "bacterial SSU rRNA". It matches the Rfam family "Bacterial small subunit ribosomal RNA", at positions 907 to 1382 of the family's 1533-position model. The record is from RNAcentral. Lineage: Bacteria; Bacillati; Bacillota; Clostridia; Eubacteriales; Desulfotomaculaceae.
AGAAUUGACGGGGCCGCACAAGCGGUGGAGCAGUGUGGUUAAUUCGACGCAACGCGAAGAACCUUACCAGGGCUUGACAUCCCCUGACCGCGUAUGAAAGUACGUUUUCACCCUCGGGUGACAGGGAGACAGGUGGUGCAUGGUUGUCGUCAGCUCGUGUCGUGAGAUGUUGGGUUAAGUCCCGCAACGAGCGCAACCCCUACGUUUAGUUGCUAACAGGCGAAGCUGAGCACUCUAGACGAACUGCCGUUGACAAAACGGAGGAAGGUGGGAUGACGUCAAAUCAUCAUGCCCCUUAUGUUCUGGGCUACACACGUGCUACAAUGGCCGGUACAGACGGAGGCGAAGCCGCGAGGCGGAGCAAAUCCGAAAAAGCCGGUCUCAGUUCGGAUUGCAGGCUGCAAUUCGCCUGCAUGAAGUCGGAAUCGCUAGUAAUCGCAGGUCAGCAUACUGCGGUCGAAUACGUUCCCGGGCCUU